UACGAAGGGUGCAAGCGUUACUCGGAAUUACUGGGCGUAAAGCGUGCGUAGGUGGUGAGUUAAGUCUGUCGUGAAAGCCCCGGGCUCAACCUGGGAAUGGCGAUGGAUACUGGCUCGCUAGAGUGCGGUAGAGGAGAGUGGAAUUCCCGGUGUAGCAGUGAAAUGCGUAGAGAUCGGGAGGAACAUCAGUUGCGAAGGCGGCUCUCUGGACCAGCACUGACACUGAGGCACGAAAGCGUGGGUAGCAAACAGG
Molecule: ribosomal RNA, 253 nt
Filed under: uncultured bacterium
Lineage: Bacteria
Description: partial 16S ribosomal RNA
Rfam family: Bacterial small subunit ribosomal RNA
Source: RNAcentral